This 465-nucleotide ribosomal RNA is filed under the name uncultured bacterium. RNAcentral describes it as "partial 16S ribosomal RNA". It matches the Rfam family "Bacterial small subunit ribosomal RNA", at positions 339 to 795 of the family's 1533-position model. The record is from RNAcentral.
CUACGGGUGGCUCCAGUGAGGAAUUUUGCGCAAUGGGGGAAACCCUGACGCAGCAACGCCGCGUGAGUGAUGAAGGCCUUCGGGUCGUAAAACUCUGUCAAGUGGGAAGAACCUAUGUAAGGUUAAUACCCUUAUGUACUGACGGUACCACUGAAGGAAGCACCGGCUAACUCCGUGCCAGCAGCCGCGGUAAUACGGAGGGUGCAAGCGUUAUUCGGAAUUAUUGGGCGGAAAGGGCGCGCAGGCGGUUUUGUAAGUCAGAUGUGAAAGCCCGGGGCUUAACCUCGGAAGUGCAUUUGAUACUGCAAGACUUGAGUAUGGGAGGGGGAAGUGGAAUUCCUGGUGUAGAGGUGAAAUUCGUAGAUAUCAGGAGGAACACCAGUGGCGAAGGCGACUUCCUGGACCAAUACUGACGCUGAGGCGCGAAGGCGUGGGGAGCAAACAGGAUUAGAUACCCUUGUAGUC